RNAcentral lists this ribosomal RNA (256 nucleotides) under uncultured bacterium. Its description in RNAcentral is "partial 16S ribosomal RNA". It matches the Rfam family "Bacterial small subunit ribosomal RNA", at positions 524 to 776 of the family's 1533-position model. The record is from RNAcentral.
UACGGGGGGAGCAAGCGUUGUUCGGAUUUACUGGGCGUAAAGGGCGCGUAGGCGGUCGUGACAAGUCACUUGUGAAAUCUCCGGGCUUAACUCGGAACGGUCAAGUGAUACUGUCGGACUAGAGUACAGAAGGGGCAACUGGAAUUCUCGGUGUAGCGGUGAAAUGCGUAGAUAUCUGGAGGAACACCGGUGGCGAAGGCGGCAUCCUGGACCAACACUGACACUGAGGAGCGGAAAGCCAAGGGGAGCAAACGGG